RNAcentral lists this ribosomal RNA (253 nucleotides) under uncultured bacterium. RNAcentral's name for it is "partial 16S ribosomal RNA". It matches the Rfam family "Bacterial small subunit ribosomal RNA", at positions 524 to 776 of the family's 1533-position model. The record is from RNAcentral.
UACAGAGGUCUCAAGCGUUGUUCGGAUUCAUUGGGCGUAAAGGGUGCGUAGGCGGCGCGGUAAGUCGGGUGUGAAAUCUCGGAGCUUAACUCCGAAACUGCAUUCGAUACUGCCGUGCUUGAGGACUGGAGAGGAGACUGGAAUUUACGGUGUAGCGGUGAAAUGCGUAGAUAUCGUAAGGAAGACCAGUGGCGAAGGCGGGUCUCUGGACAGUUCCUGACGCUGAGGCGCGAAAGCUAGGGGAGCAAACGGG